RNAcentral lists this ribosomal RNA (518 nucleotides) under uncultured bacterium. RNAcentral describes it as "partial 16S ribosomal RNA". It matches the Rfam family "Bacterial small subunit ribosomal RNA", at positions 355 to 861 of the family's 1533-position model. The record is from RNAcentral.
UGGGGAAUAUUGCACAAUGGGCGCAAGCCUGAUGCAGCCAUGCCGCGUGUGUGAAGAAGGCCUUCGGGUUGUAAAGCACUUUCAGCGAGGAGGAAGGUGGUGAGCUUAAUACGCUCAUCAAUUGACGUUACUCGCAGAAGAAGCACCGGCUAACUCCGUGCCAGCAGCCGCGGUAAUACGGAGGGUGCAAGCGUUAAUCGGAAUUACUGGGCGUAAAGCGCACGCAGGCGGUUUGUUAAGUCAGAUGUGAAAUCCCCGGGCUCAACCUGGGAACUGCAUUUGAAACUGGCAAGCUAGAGUCUCGUAGAGGGGGGUAGAAUUCCAGGUGUAGCGGUGAAAUGCGUAGAGAUCUGGAGGAAUACCGGUGGCGAAGGCGGCCCCCCUGGACGAAGACUGACGCUCAGGUGCGAAAGCGUGGGGCAGCAAACAGGAUUAGAUACCCUGGUAGUCCAGCGCUGUAAAACGAUGUCGAUUUGGAGGUUGUGCCCUUGAGGCGUGGCUUCCGGAGCUAACGCGUU